GAGUUUGAUCUUGGCUCAGAACGAACGCUGGCGGCAGGCCUAACACAUGCAAGUCGAACGCCGUAGCAAUACGGAGUGGCAGACGGGUGAGUAACACGUGGGAACAUGCCCUUUGGUACGGAACAACUCCGGGAAACUGGAGCUAAUACCGUAUGUGCCCGAGAGGGGAAAGAUUUAUCGCCAAAGGAUUGGCCCGCGUCGGAUUAGCUAGUUGGUGAGGUAAUGGCUCACCAAGGCGACGAUCCGUAGCUGGUCUGAGAGGAUGAUCAGCCACACUGGGACUGAGACACGGCCCAGACUCCUACGGGAGGCAGCAGUGGGGAAUAUUGGACAAUGGGGGCAACCCUGAUCCAGCCAUGCCGCGUGUGUGAAGAAGGCC
Molecule: ribosomal RNA, 379 nt
Filed under: uncultured Alphaproteobacteria bacterium
Lineage: Bacteria; Pseudomonadati; Pseudomonadota; Alphaproteobacteria
Description: bacterial SSU rRNA
Rfam family: Bacterial small subunit ribosomal RNA
Source: RNAcentral